AAGCAAUUAGAGAGAGAGCUAAGAAGCAUAAAUGGAGAAAGAAGAACUUAUGUCCACCUUCUUCAUUUUCGCACCCUUGAUACAGCCCCACUAAAUCAGCUUGUUUAUUGGUGGAGAUAAACGCAUUUGAAGAUUGAUGAUUGAUGCUGAAAGUGAGUACAAGAGUGGUUACGGGUUUGGUGAACUUGAAGGUGUAGUUUGUGUCAAGAAGAUAGUCCAAUGGCAGCAAGAACAUGAUCUCAACCUCUAUUAAUCCAAGGUGCAGUUUAGUAGCGUUUGACAGAUAGUAGGUUCGGAUUGACGACUUAAAGUGGUGAUGGCUCGGAGACCUCGUCAGAUCUUAUUUUCCGCUGUGCAGAUCCAUG
Vicia villosa (hairy vetch) is the source of this 365-nucleotide long non-coding RNA. RefSeq lists it as uncharacterized. NCBI's taxonomy places the organism in Eukaryota, Viridiplantae, Streptophyta, Magnoliopsida, Fabales, Fabaceae. The transcript has 3 exons. The record is from RefSeq and is a predicted model, not a curated record.